This 254-nucleotide ribosomal RNA is filed under the name uncultured bacterium. RNAcentral's name for it is "partial 16S ribosomal RNA". It matches the Rfam family "Bacterial small subunit ribosomal RNA", at positions 524 to 777 of the family's 1533-position model. The record is from RNAcentral.
UACGUAGGUGGCAAGCGUUAUCCGGAAUUACUGGGCGUAAAGCGCACGCAGGCGGUCUUUUAAGUUUGACGUGAAAGCUCCCGGCUUAACUGGGAGAGGUCGUUGAAGACUGGAAGACUUGAGGCAAUGAGAGGGGUGUAGAAUUCCCGGUGUAGUGGUGGAAUGCGUAGAUAUCGGGGGGAAUACCAGUGGCGAAAGCGGCACCCUAGCGUUAGCCUGACGCUCAUGUGCGAAAGCGUGGGGAGCGAACGGGG